This is a long non-coding RNA of Bombus impatiens (common eastern bumble bee), 1392 nucleotides long. RefSeq lists it as uncharacterized. The transcript has 4 exons. Lineage: Eukaryota; Metazoa; Arthropoda; Insecta; Hymenoptera; Apidae. The record is from RefSeq and is a predicted model, not a curated record.
UCAGGUCGACGUGUUUUACAGAACAAAUAAAGGAAGGAACUUCUGGGUAAUAGUUUUUCCGUACAUACACCGGGGAUCAUUAGCUGUUCGCGGUCAACGUCUCUGGUCUCCCCUCGCACUCGGUUUCAAAGCCGCAGAAACUCGUCUAUUCCCGUGUCGACGAUUUUCCACGGUUCUGGUGUGCUUUUUCGUCCCUAUAUGUGUCGACGGGUCGAUGAACGGCACACGGAUACGGCCCUGGCCAGCCCGCAAACAGCAUUUUUCCACGGCGACUCGGUUUACGCUCGCGGUUAAAAAGAAUCCGCUCCGUGUUGGUCGCGCGUCGCCACCCAAGUACCAACAGAAGAAAUAGCAGAGACUAAAGACGGGCAGAACGAGCAAGGGAGCCGCUAUAGCGGGCAAAAAUCAAGAGAUACCGAGCCAAGUUCCGGGAAACGGUUAUAUCGUAUCGAUCGUGACACCUUAGCUGAUAACGAGGAACGUGUCGUAACUAGAAACGUGCAAAUAUCCUCUGCGAUAAAAAUCAAAAUCGAGUAUGUCAUAAUUGAAGACAUGAGAAUAUUUUUUACGAUUACACAACCACAACUUGAUGGCAAGGAACGUGUGAUAACAACAGACGCUGAAACAUGUCCCAUGAUGAAAAAUGUAAGUUAAUCAAGCGAAUUCGAUAUCUUAAGAUUACACAAAACUCAUUAAGCUUAUCUGGUUUUCCUUUUUUACAGAGGGUAGUUGACGAUGAUAACGAAAGACGCAUGGUAAUCAUUUUUGUACAAUUAAAUCCGCAAAGAUCGCCGGUUACAGUCAAUAGCAUAGAUAUUUUUUGGCAUAAAAUUAACUAGUUUACAGAUACUUGUUCGUUUGUUCGAACUUGUUUAUCCUCAUCUAAUUUGCAUUUUGUGAUAAGGAAUCACUGGAUGUAUUUUAUUCUUUGCAGCUUUUUCUCGAGUACAAGUCUCGAGUCAGCUGAUUGGCAGAAUCGCUAAUUAUUCUUUAAAAUAGACGAGGAUCUUUGGAAUUCCGAUUAAUCCAUGACCUCGGUUACCAGAAACGAGCUUCGACGUGCUACAAUAAACUUCAAUAUUAGAACUACCAGAAUUAUGAAAAUGUCCAAUCGAUAGUUUUUCAUAGGAAUUUUAUAAAUAUACAGCGGUAAAUUUUUGAGAAUUUUAUACGAGAUAUUGACUUAUCUAUAUCUUACAUAUCUUUUCAAAAUGUUAUACCUUUAAAAAGAUACGUAUUUAGGGAUUUUUUGCGACGUUUUAUAAAAUCUGCAGAUGAAAUGUUAUUCUUCAUUUUACAUUAUAAUAUCUCUCUACAUAUACUUCUCAUUUUAAUUCUUUUACACUGUCAGUCAUAAGUAUUAGGACAUGCUUUUAGUACAAAUUGAAUAUA